This 1246-nucleotide ribosomal RNA is filed under the name Candidatus Phytoplasma asteris-related phytoplasma. RNAcentral describes it as "bacterial SSU rRNA". It matches the Rfam family "Bacterial small subunit ribosomal RNA", at positions 153 to 1399 of the family's 1533-position model. The record is from RNAcentral. Lineage: Bacteria; Bacillati; Mycoplasmatota; Mollicutes; Acholeplasmatales; Acholeplasmataceae.
GAAACGACUGCUAAGACUGGAUAGGAGACAAGAAGGCAUCUUCUUGUUUUUAAAAGACCUAGCAAUAGGUAUGCUUAGGGAGGAGCUUGCGUCACAUUAGUUAGUUGGUGGGGUAAAGGCCUACCAAGACUAUGAUGUGUAGCCGGGCUGAGAGGUUGAACGGCCACAUUGGGACUGAGACACGGCCCAAACUCCUACGGGAGGCAGCAGUAGGGAAUUUUCGGCAAUGGAGGAAACUCUGACCGAGCAACGCCGCGUGAACGAUGAAGUAUUUCGGUACGUAAAGUUCUUUUAUUAGGGAAGAAUAAAUGAUGGAAAAAUCAUUCUGACGGUACCUAAUGAAUAAGCCCCGGCUAACUAUGUGCCAGCAGCCGCGGUAAUACAUAGGGGGCAAGCGUUAUCCGGAAUUAUUGGGCGUAAAGGGUGCGUAGGCGGUUAAAUAAGUUUAUGGUCUAAGUGCAAUGCUCAACAUUGUGAUGCUAUAAAAACUGUUUAGCUAGAGUAAGAUAGAGGCAAGUAGAAUUCCAUGUGUAGUGGUAAAAUGCGUAAAUAUAUGGAGGAACACCAGUAGCGAAGGCGGCUUGCUGGGUCUUUACUGACGCUGAGGCACGAAAGCGUGGGGAGCAAACAGGAUUAGAUACCCUGGUAGUCCACGCCGUAAACGAUGAGUACUAAACGUUGGGUAAAACCAGUGUUGAAGUUAACACAUUAAGUACUCCGCCUGAGUAGUACGUACGCAAGUAUGAAACUUAAAGGAAUUGACGGGACUCCGCACAAGCGGUGGAUCAUGUUGUUUAAUUCGAAGGUACCCGAAAAACCUCACCAGGUCUUGACAUGCUUCUGCAAAGCUGUAGAAACACAGUGGAGGUUAUCAGUCGCACAGGUGGUGCAUGGUUGUCGUCAGCUCGUGUCGUGAGAUGUUGGGUUAAGUCCCGCAACGAGCGCAACCCUUAUUGUUAGUUACCAGCACGUAAUGGUGGGGACUCUAGCAAGACUGCCAGUGAUAAAUUGGAGGAAGGUGGGGACGACGUCAAACCAUCAUGCCCCUUAUGACCUGGGCUACAAACGUGAUACAAUGGCUGUUGCAAAGGGUAGCUGAAGCGCAAGUUUUUGGCGAAUCUCAAAAAAACAGUCUCAGUUCGGAUUGAAGUCUGCAACUCGACUUCAUGAAGUUGGAAUCGCUAGUAAUCGCGAAUCAGCAUGUCGCGGCGAAUACGUUGACGGGGUUUGUACACACCGCCCGUCA